GCAACAAGUGAUAGCAUAUUGAUCUACGGGGAACACUAAUGAACCUCCCCCAUCCCUAAUCUCUGAUGUUCUUAAUUGAUUACUCUUCGAGCAUCUCCGUGCAAAGCAUAUGCAUAAACAAUCAAAGGGAUCAAUCUCAAUCUCCCACACAACGUUGCCUGCCCACCUACGUCUUCUUCAUAGGCACUAUUAGGAGGAAGAGCAUGGAUUAAACAACUAAUCGGUGCAUCCAAUCGGUACAAGCCGUCCUCUGCGUCGCUGUUUCCCUGCCUUAUCACUCCAUCCGCGCCCUUCGUGUUGACCUCUACCGACGUCGCAUCCGUUCCCAGGUGAGGACGGACGGAGGAGGAAGAGAGAUGAGAAGUGCGCGCGGGUUCCGAGGGCGACGGCCGCGCGCCGCAACGCCCCACCCCUCCCCCGCGCGUGGCCGCACGGGGAACCGAGCUCUUAAACCUACGGCCGUAGGGACGAAACUACCCCCCCUCGGUCUCGCAGGGGUAGUGGGAGGUGGGCCCGGGCUCCCAUUAAAAGCCGGGGGUGGAGGAGUACGCCUCCGCGUCGGCGUCCGACAAAAGCUGCGCCCUCCUCCCACGCCACUCCCACGUCGGUCGGACCACCCGACGCCCGCUUCGCCCGGCCUUCGUUUCCCCCGUUUCCCCGCCCACC
RNAcentral lists this long non-coding RNA (666 nucleotides) under Musa acuminata (dwarf banana). Its description in RNAcentral is "long non-coding RNA (MACU_LNC005195)". Lineage: Eukaryota; Viridiplantae; Streptophyta; Magnoliopsida; Zingiberales; Musaceae. The record is from RNAcentral.